GCUGGGUGUGGUGGCGCACACCUGUGGUCCCAGCUACUUGGGAGGCUGAGGCAGAAUUGUCGCUUAAACCCAGGAGGUGGACGUUGCAGUGAGCCAAGAUCGUGCCACUGCACUCUAGCUUGGGCAAUGGUGCAAGACUCCCUCUCAAAAAUAAAUAAAUAAAGUCAGUAUUUUUUUUUUUUUUAAGAUGGAGUGUCGCUCUGUUGCCAGGCUGGAGUGCAGUGGCACGAUCUCAGCUCACUGCAACCUCCACCUCCUGGGUUCAAGCGAUUCUCCUCCCU
RNAcentral lists this signal recognition particle RNA (281 nucleotides) under Gorilla gorilla gorilla (western lowland gorilla). RNAcentral's name for it is "Metazoan signal recognition particle RNA". It matches the Rfam family "Metazoan signal recognition particle RNA". From Rfam's summary of the family: The signal recognition particle (SRP) is a universally conserved ribonucleoprotein. It is involved in the co-translational targeting of proteins to membranes. Lineage: Eukaryota; Metazoa; Chordata; Mammalia; Primates; Hominidae. The record is from Rfam by way of RNAcentral.